CGUGACGAGAAGCUGUUCAGCCGUUUUAGUGUCGCCAGUUUUGCGCUUUUCUACGAGAAACGAUUCGGGUGAAUUUUUGGGGAGAUAAGCUUGUAAACCAUGGAUGCAGAUCAUCUUUAAAAUCGGGAAACUGAAUGCGUUAGAAAAAAACGGGGUGUGUGUAUUUUUGUGGCUGCGUGCUACACUUUACGUCGUGCCAACGUCGGCCUAGGCUGAAUGUUUACGUCGCCAUACGUCGUCUAAAUGUCGUCACCUACAUACAGGACGGGACCUCUGUGGAGUUUAAUGACGUUAAUUAAAGUCAACCUGCUUUUGGUCUAUAAAGUGGUAAAGGCUGAUGAAUUGGCUGGAUUGAAGCCCAACUCAGUGUGCAAAUAGAACCAAACAGCCACUGAACACUGAGUUUAAUUAAAUCAGUAGUAAAACUAACUAAUAAUUGUGUAAUACUGUCUAGAUUUAAUCUCGUGUGCAUUUAUUCACACGACACAUGUGAAAGACAAAUCUCAGACGAUUCCCAUUUAGUUCACUGACCCUCAGUUUGUUAAUCCAAUAGAUUAUGACUAAUUUAAAAGUUAAAAUAGUUAUUAAGAAUAUAAAACUCUUGAGUUUCUUAUAGAACUGCGCUGGACCUCAAGUGACAGGUGUGAGCAAUCCAGUCCCCCCAAAAAAUAGAUGAACCAGAUUACCAGUGUCCUUCAGUGUCUCCCCAGUCACAGGAUCUGAAUCUAAUAAAACACCUUUGGGAUGUAGCACAACAGCUCUGAUUCAGGUGCUCACAUGUGUGGAACAGUUGAAGAGUCAGGUAUCUGACCUGAACCGGAAGGUUGACGUGCUGCUCCGGCAGAACAGCUCUCUGCUGAGUGAUGAUGAUGAUGAUGUGGAAGAUGUCCAGGCUGGUUUGCCACUGUGGACGUUCGAGGACGUGGAAGUGCUGGAGCAGAAACUGCAAGAUGAGAUGUAUAACAAGCUACUGCAGGUUACAACAGCUGAUGUGCUGUCUGCUUCAGUGCAGGAGGUCCAGCUCUCAUCUGUAGAGCAGCGAGGGUUAACUUCAGCAACGUCACUGACGACCACAUUGGAAACCUAAUAAAGAACAGGCUCCGUUUGGCCAGGGACAGAGAUGGAGGGAGGAGGUAAAGAAGCAUCAGUGCUGUUCAGUACAACUCAGCUCUUCAACUCUGAGUUUGUGUCAGUGGCACACAGAGUACUGUUUACAUUCACUCUAAAAUAUAUUAUUAUCUAAUAUUUAAAAAUGCAAAAGCAACCUUUUGAGGUUUCAUAUAUAUUUAAUGUGGCUUGUUCAGGACACAAAGCAACCUUUGAUGCAUCAUCAUAUAGUGUACAUAUAGAGUUAAAGCACAGGCUUAUAUACAUGUAAGGAUUUUUACAUAAAGUGCAGAAAAGGGUUAGAUUUUGCCUGUCACAGCCUAAUGAAAACAGGCAUUUUGAUUAAGCUGCUGGCCCAAGAUUCAUAAAGACUAUGUUGACUGUGAAAUUCAAGUACUGUUUCAAUGAAGUAAAUACAGGUAUUAUGUCAUGAUUAUGAACUCACUCUGGGUUUGUCAUGGUCCUAAUUGUAGAUGCUAGUAUAGUUGUUCAUUUCAUUAAGAUUAAGAGAACCUUAUUGGUCCCACAAUGGGGACAUUUUCGCCUCUGCAUACACCCCAUCCGUGAAGUGAAAAACCACACACACACACACUAGUGAGCAUACACACACUAGGGGGCAGUGAGCACACUUUCCUGAAGCGGUGGGCAGCCCUAUCCACAGCACCCGGGGAGCAGAUUGGGGUUAGGUGCCUUGCUCAAGGACACAUCAGUCAUGUACUGUCAGCUAUGGGGAUCAAACCUGCCCCAUGGUUGCUAUUGUGGCAAUUUGGAAGCCAAGAGCUAAUUUUGACUUUAUGGAGCAUUCGGCUGGACUGCCAGUAUAAACAUGUUGCAGUUUGUGUCGUGUUUAUAAUUGUGUUUUUUUUUUACCUUGUAAUAAUAUAUCUGUUGUCAAUGACUGUGAUCUUAUAAACUGAUGAAGCCAUUUGAAAUACCAUAAAACUUAGCACACAAAAACUGGAUUAAAGUGAUACUAUUAUGGUAACUCAGUUUAACUCCCAUACAGUGAAACGAGCUCAUUGUGAUUGCAUUGAUUAAUCGAUUUUGAUCACUUAAUUUACAAACAUAUAGUGAAAAACAGGUACAGAAGUUGAGAAAGAAAAUAACCAGAAAAGAAGAGAGUGUCUUUAUGGAGCACACCACUACUAAAUCUACUCAAGCAUCUUACCUUACCAUACAAAUGGGCUGUAAACCAUUGUCUAAAUACUUUUAGUCACCAUCACUUAUAUGACAGCAAUCCACAGAGUUGAAUGAAAUAAUCGAUUACUAUCUCAGUUUUCAAAACGUCUUCGUGUCCUUUGGUAUGUUUUCAAUUUGAGUGUUUUCAAAUCGAUAAAACGUCAUGGCUAAAAACUAUUUUAAACUUAAGGCACCAUGCUUCUGUAUUUUGGCCGCACAGAACUAUACAUUUGUGUUAUUUCUCAAAAUAAAAACUUUGAUGAUGAUGUGAAUAAAAAAAACAAAAAUUGCA
Long non-coding RNA from Pygocentrus nattereri (red-bellied piranha), 2578 nucleotides. RefSeq lists it as uncharacterized. Lineage: Eukaryota; Metazoa; Chordata; Actinopteri; Characiformes; Serrasalmidae. The record is from RefSeq and is a predicted model, not a curated record. The transcript is spliced from 4 exons.